GAUCUCAUCACUCCAUUAAUGCCCCAAACUGUUUGACUCUCUCGAUUUCUGUAUCAUCUAACACUCCAGAUCUUCACAGAUUUGUAGUUGAUUGAUUGCUCUUCUAAGCAAGGAGAGAUGGAAUCUGAAGGAGAGACUGGGGGUUCCGCUCAGAAUCUUUGAUAUUCCGACCAGAAGCUAGGGUUUUGAUGGUAGUUUCCAGCGACACAGGUGGUGUUUGAGAUUGAAUCUUAAUUGAAAAGGGUUUGUAUUAGAGCUUCCUAGAGCAUUGUCAACCAUUUGCCUAUGAUGGGUUAUUUGUGAUUAUGUUUUCUCUGUGUUAGGUUUAUCCAGGCAAUUAAAAAUAAAAUAGCUUUCAUGACAAAAGUUGUGUUUGAUGUGCUAAUUUUGUAGGAUGCGUUACAUGAUAGUAUUGUGUUAAUCAUCAAGCUUGGCUCCAAUCUUUUGAUCUAUCCGAAGUAUUAAUUGUCCAUUAUUCCUGAAGAUAUGGCGGACCUGUCAUUAAACCAAUGAUGGGACCAAUGCAAGCAUCGUCAAUACUUAUAAAGAAGGCUUCGGCAUAUAAUUUUGUUGGUUCAGCAGUCCUUAACCUUUGACAAGUUAAUGGCUGGUAACUACUUGGUGAGGUUAUUGCUGGAGCAGAUGAUAGACUCUGCAAAUUCGGCUUAUCUUGGCAUACUAGAAAGGUGGGUGUAUGAAGGACUUAUUGAUGAUCCACAUGACGAGUUCUUCAUUGCUGAGAACAAAUCUCUUCAAAAGGUGUAAGGUUAUACAACUGCCUUAUAGUUUAAUACCCCUGAUAGGGAUAUGGUGAUUACUCUUGAUGACUGAUACACUCAAAAUCAUUUGCUCAAUAUGCUAGAUGGAGUGUUGGUCGAUGGCAAGGGACUUAAUGUUGAUCUAGGCUCAAUUUCAUUGGUUUUUCCCUAUAAAUAUAGUUCCAUUGUUCAAGACGACAUUAACCAUACUACACUCAAUGAUGAUUUAGGUAAGUGCCAUUGGUUUUUGUUUAUAAUAUUAAACAAUCCAUGUUAGGUUGAGAUGCAAGAAAUGGGACGGGCCAUGUCAGGAUGAGCCGCAAGAUUUUUUUAGUUAUUGUCUGAGUAACUAAUGCGUAAAUCAUAAUUACAAUAACAAUGUAUGUAGUUAAGACUAAUUAAAAUUCUUGAAUAAAUAUUUUAAGUUUAUCAUCAUAACUUUCUAUGAUCAAGUUGUGAGCCUUUCAACCCAUACCUGUAAUUAUGUUAUGCGUAAAUGCUUAUUUUUGGUGAGUUUUCUUAGAGCAGCAUGUAUUGGAGCAUGAAAAACCACACGAGCACUCAGUAAUAAUUCUGUUCAAAUGAGUCAAUAGAAGUUUGCAUCAAAUGUGGUUGAGAAAUGUUUUGACUUUUGGAGAUGCUAGCAAACGCCAACUUCUUGUGAAUAAGUUCAACAAUUAGUUUCUUAACUUGCUGGGACUUUUGCUGUUAGAAAUGAAUCUAACUCUCAAGAAAAUGAAAAGAGGAGUUUAAUGAGUAGGUGCACAUAAAUUAUCUCCCAUUUAAAGGAUGGAGGUUUGAGAUACACUACACUAUAUUUUUUUAUGUUUUGCAUUUAUGUAUAUUAAACUGGUAAACUUUUU
Molecule: long non-coding RNA, 1621 nt
Filed under: Helianthus annuus (common sunflower)
Lineage: Eukaryota; Viridiplantae; Streptophyta; Magnoliopsida; Asterales; Asteraceae
Source: RNAcentral